AGGACGAACGCUGGCGGCAUGCCUAAUACAUGCAAGUCGAGCGAAUCUUUAAAGGAGCUUGCUCCUUUAAAGAUUAGCGGCGGAUGGGUGAGUAACACGUGGGCAACCUGCCCUACAGAUGGGGAUAACUCCGGGAAACCGGGGCUAAUACCGAAUAAACAGUUUGUCCGCAUGGACAAACUCUGAAAGACGGUUUCGGCUGUCACUGUAGGAUGGGCCCGCGGCGCAUUAGCUAGUUGGUGGGAUAACGGCCUACCAAGGCAACGAUGCGUAGCCGACCUGAGAGGGUGAUCGGCCACACUGGGACUGAGACACGGCCCAGACUCCUACGGGAGGCAGCAGUAGGGAAUCUUCCACAAUGGACGGAAGUCUGAUGGAGCAAUGCCGCGUGAGCGAAGAGGUUUCGGAUCGUAAAGCUCUGUUGUGAGGGAAGAACAAGUACGGGAGUAACUGCCCGUGCCUUGACGGUACCUCAUUAGAAAGCCACGGCUAACUACGUGCCAGUAG
RNAcentral lists this ribosomal RNA (507 nucleotides) under uncultured bacterium. Its description in RNAcentral is "SSU rRNA". It matches the Rfam family "Bacterial small subunit ribosomal RNA", at positions 26 to 514 of the family's 1533-position model. The record is from RNAcentral.